Molecule: ribosomal RNA, 366 nt
Filed under: uncultured organism
Description: bacterial LSU rRNA
Rfam family: Bacterial large subunit ribosomal RNA
Source: RNAcentral
CUUUACUGUAGCCUGGAAUUGGGUUCGGGCUUUGACUGCGCAGGAUAGGUGGGAGACUAUGAGAUUACCCUUGUGGGGGCAAAGGAGUCAACGGUGAGAUACCACUCUGUCAAAGCUAGAAUUCUAACCUUUAGCCGUCAUCCGGCGGAGGAACAGUUUCAGGUGGGCAGUUUGACUGGGGCGGUCGCCUCCUAAGUGUAACGGAGGCGCACAAAGGUUCCCUCAGGCUGGUUGGAAAUCAGCCGAAGAGUGCAAAGGCAUAAGGGAGCUUGACUGUGAGACUGACAAGUCGAGCAGGGUGGAAACACGGUCUUAGUGAUCCGACGGCUAUGAGUGGAAGUGCCGUCGCUCAACGGAUAAAAGUUA